This is a long non-coding RNA of Oncorhynchus gorbuscha (pink salmon), 1383 nucleotides long. RefSeq lists it as uncharacterized. The transcript has 7 exons. The record is from RefSeq and is a predicted model, not a curated record. Lineage: Eukaryota; Metazoa; Chordata; Actinopteri; Salmoniformes; Salmonidae.
GACGCAGUUAUCCAGAGCGACGAAUAGGAGUAAAUCGGGGCUAUGUGCCGCCCGAAAAAGAUGUCACAAACCUACCAAGAGAGGGCCACCCACCAAAACUGACGGACUAGGCAAGGAGGGCAUUAAUCAGCAGAUGAUAAACUUCCUAAAAUAUUCAGGACAUCAGCAGGGCUGAGUGUAAAAGCAGGAUGGCCAGUCCUAUUGUCGAGCCAUACUGGGCAACCGGAGGUAUGUCAACAAUGUUUAUCAACAUAAUGGAAUAUUGUAUGUGCUUAUUGACAAUGAAUUGUGCUGUGGGACGACAAUAUCAACAAUUGACACAGACACAGUUGAUAUGGUGAAUAAUAUUAGACCGACACAAAGGCUGUCAGUUUAUUUCCAGGCCAAGUUUCUGUGCUGUGUUUGUUUUUUCAAGGUGUGUCUGGCCUGCCUGGCAUCAUCUUUCCCCGGGAGUUAAGUGGGCCUACAGAAAAGUACUCAGAACAGCCUGAAAGUGAAGCCUGGGGAUGGAGUGACUUAACUCCCCGAAAGGGCCUGUGUUACAGGCAGAAGAUGUGCAUCUCGCCACCAGAUGGAAAGAUCCCACUCUCUGGAAACUUAGUCUCCCUGAUGUAUUUUGGCGGAGCGUGAAGUCUGCGGGUGACGGGGGUCGACGGCCACUCCCUGGAGAGACCCCUACCUACCCCGGGACUGGAGCCUGAUACAGAGGAGGCCUCUGACCAUCUCAUCCCUGGGCUCCACCUCCGCCCUGGGCUCCACCUCCAGGGAUCCGGCGCAGCCUGGUCCUGCAUCCAGUACCCCAUGCAGGCCCGCCUGUAUGCCCUGUGUCCCUGCAACCCCCAGACUCCCACUGAGUCUGAGCAGGGCAUUCUCAGUCUAGAGGUGGAGAAUAAGGUGAAGUUCAGAGACAGGCACAAAGAGGCUCAAGAGGAGGAGGAUACGGCAGCCCUGAGGUCUAAAGUCAUAUACAGUAUGAUCCCGAGAGAGACUUCUCCAACUACGGAAUCACACCUCCUAGGGGGUUCUCCUUUAUGGCCCCACGGGAACAGGAAAGACUGUGAUUGGAUGAGCCAUAGCCAAUGAGGUCGGGGCACAUAUGACCGUAAUCAACCGUCCAUAAAUCAUUAGCAAAUUUUAUGGUGAAACAGAGGUCAGAUUGAGGCAGAUAUUCACAGGAGCCUCUCAAAGGAGGGCCACUCAGGCCAGCUGCUGAUCCUAGGGGCCACCAACCGGCCCCACGCCCUGGACCCAGCUCUCUAAAUCAAAAUGUAUUUGUCACAUGCGCCGAAUACAACAGGUGUAGACCUUAACGUGAAAUGCUUACUUACAAGCCCUUAACCAACAAUGCAGUUCAAGAAAGUUAAGAAAAUAAAAAAUUAUUAA